Molecule: long non-coding RNA, 174 nt
Organism: Schistocerca americana (American grasshopper)
Lineage: Eukaryota; Metazoa; Arthropoda; Insecta; Orthoptera; Acrididae
Exons: 3
Source: RefSeq, a predicted model, not a curated record
GUGCAGACGAGGUCAUCUAUUCUGCAGAGCAGGCUGGAAGCAGUACGUCCAGGAUGUACUGCUGAGGGCUUGGUGGAAGUCAGUGCAAGAGAGACAAAAAAAAAACACGUCCUGAAUCCAGAGGCACCCUUUUUCGUGAGUGCACUCAGCGAGACAGAUGGACAUCCAGUGGAC